AUAAACCCCUCACUCUCCAUAUAUUACUCACCCCAAAACCCUAUAGACAGUUACCCUAUAUAGCCUCCCCAAGAUCCUCCUCUUCUUUCUUUUGUGAAUCCCUGAUAGUUGCUUUACCAAUCUCUCUCCAAUUCCGAAUUUCCGAUAGAGAAAUAGAAUCAUCUCGUGAUUCACUUACGUUACUUGUAAUACCUCGCUAUUACGAACACAUCUGUGGAAUUACUUGAGUACUUUUUCAAUUUUGGUAACUUUCUGGAAUUGCGCUAGAUCGACUCUGAUCUUGGGGAUUUGAUAGUAUUUCGUCCAUACAUGAAGAAAGGCUUGAUUCCUCACACCAGUUGGCCGAUUUCAAAUGUCAAACCCCAACUAGGGUUUGGGAUUUGAUUUCUUCCUUUGCCGGCUCUAUUACUGAUUGUAUAAGAUAUUUUCUUUCCUUAUUUAUGUUUAAUCAAUUCUUUUCCUUGUUUUUUCGUUCAAUUUUCAACACUAUAUAAAAUCCUCCCCUAAUUUUUCUAAAAAGGACCUUUCACUGAAAUUAACAACUGUUGUUCUCUCUUAUUCUCUCAUUCUUUACUAUUCUAAAAUUUGAGACCUGGCCGGCUAAAAGCCAAGGUCACUGAAAAAUCGAUCGUUGCUAUUUCUUAAUGCAAAUCCUACCCAGGGUUCACUUGAAACCCUUGGGAACUCUGACGCAUUGGGAUUUUGGGGGUCUACUGUUCUUUGUUGUUGACGAUUAAAGUCCUCUUGGCAUUUAGUUUUCUACCUUUUUUGCUCUUUAGUUCUGCAAACCGGUGAAUACCGAGGCUCUUGUAAUUUUAUUUUUUUGCUUGUGUUCAUGCUUUACAUGCUCAUGUCAUUUAGGCCUUUAUGAAUCAAUGUGCUUGUUUGAAUCAAAUUAUAUUUGAUACAAGAAUAAGUUGCAAUCACAAAAUAAAUAUGAAGAAACAUAAUUUUAUUGAUAAAAUGAUGCGGAUACAAUCCUGUUUCUCCCUUGAUCUUCUCUUCUGAUAAUCUGGAUGAUGCAGAGCUCCUAAAUGUAUCCGGUUUCUUAAACUAUUUCAUUGUCAAGAAGUAUCUAGUCAUAUUUUGGUCUCUUUGUGAGUAUCCCGUGAGUUUAUGGGGUUUUUUUGAGACACCUCUUUAGGAGAAUAUAUAUCCCUUUAUAUAGGUGUGAGUUAGGGUUCAGGGUAGAGUACCCUCCAAGAAACAAAAAUAGACUCCUAAUAGACUCCUAGGAUUUUUAAAGCCAUGUAGUAUCUUUAAUUUAGGAUUUGGCUUGAUCCCUUAAAAUUUUGAUGUCUACAAAUACCCCUACUUCAAGGUUUGUCGGGGUGUAGGCUUGUCGAACUUUAAGACGAGACUUAAAGUACUCGACAGUCACAACAAAUGGUUUUGAAAAUUGGAGUUUUUGAUUUAUAGGAGGAAGAGAUGAAGGGAAGAACCGGUCCCACGGGGCGUGCCGGUUUGUUUGCAUCAAAUUAUAUGUGAUACAAAAAUAAGUUUCAAUCACAAAAUAAAUAUGAAAAAACAUAAUUUUAUUGAUAAAAUGAUGCGGGUACAAUCCGGUUUCUCUCUUGAUUCUUCUCUCCUGAUAAUCUUCGUGAUUUGAGGGCUGAAGCAGCGUAUUUCCCGAAUGUAAGGAUGAUGCAGAGCUCCUAGAUGUAUUCGGUUUCUUGAACUAUUUCAUUGUCAAGAAGUAUCUAGUCAUAUUUUGGUCUCUUUGUGAGUAUCUCGUGAGUUUAUGGAAUUUUUUUGAGACACCUAUUUAGGAGAAUAUAUACCCUUUAUAUAGGUGUGAGUUAGGGUUCAGGGUAGAGUACCCUUCAAGAAAUCCUGAUAGACUCCUAAUAGACUCCUAGGAUUUCUAGAGUCCUAUAGUAUCUUUAAUUUAGGAUUUGGCUUGAUCCCUUAAAAUUUUGAUGCCUACAGUGCUAUUAUUCGGCUCUGUUGGUAUUCUUGUUUUCCUUUGGAAUCAAUUCUAUGCCUCUAUGUUUUCUAGCAUUUGAACUUGUUUGAGCUUUAAGCUUCAACGCAUGCUUAUAUAUGUGUGCAGUUUUAAUCACUCUCACUCUUUUAAUUACCUACUGUUUGUUAUGAGACCCUCAUCAUGCCUUGCCUUGGUUUCUUAGACUGAAACUCCUAGGUGAUCAUCCCUUUUCUUGAAUGAAUUCCUUUACGCUAAGUUUUGUGUUAAUCAAUUGUUCUUUACAAACUGACCAUACCUGUAUGGAUCCCAUGUUACAAUAUUGUCUUAAUAUCUGGCCUAUACAUAUUUCUCUAUUACUUUCAAUCCUAAUGAUUGUAAUCUUUGGCAUUACCUAAGACUUCUAGGACAAAUAUUCCACUUCUUCUCUUAUAUGUGAUCAAUUAACAGAAGUCCUGAUGUCUGCUUGUCAUGUUAGUGUAUAGCUGAUAUGUUCUUCUACCUACCAUAAGUUUCUUUGGAAUCUUUGUGCUAUAAUCCAUUUUUAUCAUGUUGAGUUUCAUGUUCAACCAAAUGAUAUUUAGCCAAAUUGUGCCACUAGUACGUUGUUAUGCUGAUUAGAUUGUCAUUUUAAAAUCUUCAUGUAAAACUUGUGCUAUUCUUACUCCAUGCUUAUGAUUAUGCUAGAUUGUUAUUUGAAGUUCUUUAGGUUGGUUAUGAACCAUGUUUUAUUUUGAAACUCUAUGUGGCUCAUGUUGCUCGAUACUGCCACUUCAAACAUUGUUUGUGGAAAUACGAACAUGAACCAGCCUAAUAUAUGUCUCAUAUGCCUUCCAAUUUAAUAUUGUCCUAUUUAUGUGCUUUGGCUUAUAACUGCUAAGAACUGAGUGUGUGGACUUAGAGUUUUCUUAUCUAAUUAGUGAGUAGUUGUUUGGUUAAGUUGGUCCUCUGUCACUACUAGGUGGAUGAAUUCUCCAUUUCUGCUUGGUAUGGGUCUAUAUAUGAGUUUAAAGUUUGUAUCUGGCAUACUCUACUCUCAAGUUAAUUUUGGGUUUGGGUUUGUUGUUGGUGCAAAAAAUAAGCUUGUUGAAGGCCCAAGCAGUCCUGGGUUGUCUCCUCUUGGGCCUGCUCUACAUGUGGAGACUGUAGUUAUUUCAAUACUGUAAUACUGAGGUUUAUUUUCAUUUCUUCUUGGGAUUGUAAUAAUUUGUAAACAAACAAUUGGGCAUUUAGUGAAAUUGGGUAGAAAGGAUAUUCUUGUACUUGCAUGAAUGGAUAGGGAACAUAUCUAAAGGAUCUAUGUGCUCUAUUUGUUAUUUGUUUAGCAUGCUUUAUUUUUUGUACACUGAUAGACAUCAUGCAUAUAAGAGUUCUGCAAAUAUCUCACUUAAUUUGCCAAGACAUGUUAUCUAUGUCUAUUAUUUAUCACUGUUAGAUAACAUGUCUUAGGGCGCAACAAUGCAAUGUUUUUACUCAUCUAGAUAUCAUGUUGAUAGGACUUCAAAUAAUCAGUCUAUUAAUUACUUCAAUUACUUUUAGUUUACUACCUAUCUAAAUAUCAUGGCCAUAGGGUUCUAAUAUUCUAAUCAAAUUUUCCCAUUAUUUUCGAUUAAUCUAUCGUCUAUUUUUGAAAAAGCAUGCCUAUGAAACUAACUUAAGUAAUUCAGAACUAUGAUUGUUUUCCCUAAAUUUUACGCAAAUGAUUAGAUAUCAUGACUAGGACUUGCAACAUUCAAUUUUCCUAUGCGUUAAUCCAAAAAUCACUGCACUACCCAUGUAUUAUUGGAGUCCAGAAUCACUUAGUAAUCUGCCAAUAGGAUUCACCUGAAUGCUGCUUAUGCAUGAUGUUGGAAGUUAGAAUCACUUAGAAACCAUAUUUAUAGUAUUUAUAACGAUCUAAUCUACCCAUACAUUAGCCUAGAAAUACAACAGUACAUGUUUGUUCUAGAAUCAUAUAUAAAUCAUGCUUAUAGGACUAAAAGAUUCUGAAAUAUCGUCUGCUGCACAAUCUGUCAAUCAGUCUCCAUGUGUUCUUUGCUUAUGUGUGGAGGCUAAAAUAAGCCACUCUUUGCUAUUAUGUGUGGUCUUAUUUGUUUUGAAUGCACGAUUACUUUUAUCAUUUUUUUGAGCAACCUAAGUAAGUCUAGAACCAUUCAGAUAGAUGUCCAAAGCCUCCUGGACCAUAUACAUGGGACAGGUAGUGGACACAUAGGACAUGACAUAGAAAUGAAAUAAAACACUUUAGGUAAACAACUUCAACGUAGUAAUUGAGUAGCAGAAGAUGAUGGUCUGUGCUCGCUGAAUAAUAUGAGCUACUCCUAUCUAAAAGGAGUUAUGAAGUAUUAUUUAUGUUGUAUGGGGUGAUCCUUUAGGCUAAAAAAUUUAGGACCCCCGUUCCUUUAUAAACUUGCUAUUUACACUUAGUUAUUUAACAUAGAUCCAUGUAGUGGUAUCCUUGUAAUCAUUAAGAUUUGUAGCAAUUCUCAUUAUGUUAUAGUAAAAUUCUUCGAUUUUUGUAUUCUCUUUGUGUAUUUGAUCACC
RNAcentral lists this long non-coding RNA (4465 nucleotides) under Nicotiana benthamiana. RNAcentral describes it as "long non-coding RNA (NBEN_LNC042285)". The record is from RNAcentral. Lineage: Eukaryota; Viridiplantae; Streptophyta; Magnoliopsida; Solanales; Solanaceae.